Molecule: long non-coding RNA, 776 nt
Organism: Bactrocera latifrons
Lineage: Eukaryota; Metazoa; Arthropoda; Insecta; Diptera; Tephritidae
Exons: 3
Source: RefSeq, a predicted model, not a curated record
UAUACGCUGGCAUACGCGGCGGCGACGGCAGCAUCGGGGUUAUCGCAGGGUGCGCCAAAGUGUUAUUGCUACAUGUAAGUCGGACUUAGGAUUGUAACACAAGCGCCGUUUAUGGGAAUAAUGCUCGCGAUGAGGCUGUCUACGUCACUGUGGCUGGUUGCGAGUUAUUUUUCUUCGGACUCGAUCUGUCGGUUUGCGCUCCGCAUAAUCUAAAAGGCGGAACAUUUCUUUUACUUAAGCAAAUAGAAAAACGAAAAUAAUUCUUUCUUCCCAUAAUUUCCGAUGAGAAUGUUUCAUCGCAGCAGCUUUGAAGUCUUUGAAUGAAAAUCCGCAGAAACUUUUCAAUAAUCAGGGUCUGUAGUGACAUAUUUUGCAUUUCUUUAGGAGAGGAAUUUCGUUGGAACUUCAAUCGUUUCCAUUUAAAAAGAAUGAAGAGCUCGCUAACUACUGCACGGAGUUUAUAAUGAAACGCAGUCAACAAUAUAUACGAGAUAGGAGGGUGUGAAUAAUUUCACCAUUUUAUAAAACCCUAAGAGAAUAUAUGCAAGAGGCGGCCGAUUUAAAGGAGGAAAGGAAAUUUAUCAAAAUUGAAUAUGAUAAUUAUAUUCUAGAACUAUUUAAAUAUAUAUUAUAUAAAGUGGAGCUAUGGAUUAUCAUCGAAACGCUGCUGGGUUAGCUUUCUGUGUGCUUGUCUGCUGCGCCAGCUUUCUCGAUGCCCUUACCGAAUGGGUUGCCUUGAAAAUGCUAAUGGAUUGGAACCCAACUGAUAGGCAAUU